RNAcentral lists this non-coding RNA (181 nucleotides) under Hydrogenibacillus sp. RNAcentral describes it as "6S RNA". It matches the Rfam family "6S / SsrS RNA". From Rfam's summary of the family: E. coli 6S RNA was the first non coding RNA to be sequenced, but its function was unknown until recently. It consists of 184 nucleotides that fold into an extended hairpin structure with a large single-stranded internal bulge. The record is from RNAcentral. Lineage: Bacteria; Bacillati; Bacillota; Bacilli; Thermicanales; Thermicanaceae.
CCGAUCCUGAUGUGUGCGUGUAACCCAAGUGUUUUGGAACCUAACACCAGACACGAGGGAGCCUCAUAUUGCGCCGGCGAACGCUAGGCCGUAACCAGCGGAAAGCGCUUCCCGGCGCUGCGGGCACCCACCUGCGAGAGCGCAGGUUCAAAACCGCGGUUCACGGCACGUCGGGACAACC